This 7499-nucleotide long non-coding RNA is filed under the name Lactuca sativa (garden lettuce). RNAcentral's name for it is "long non-coding RNA (LSAT_LNC004703)". The record is from RNAcentral. Lineage: Eukaryota; Viridiplantae; Streptophyta; Magnoliopsida; Asterales; Asteraceae.
GGUAAAACAUGGGUAGAUGUAAUAGGUGAUGUGUGAUAAAAUGAUGAGAGGCCUCGAUGUUGAUGUUGUUGUUUCUGUCAUCUAGCGGAGUAUGGAUGACGACCACGGACUCUUCUAGACAGUCCAGUGGAACACUAGCAGGCUCGCAACCUGUAGGUGUUUGUGAACGAUGUGUUCACCGGUGUACUCCAUCCCCCACAUGGUUGCCUUUAGGACAUUUAUUGUUAAGGAAUCCCCUUAGCAGUAGUGUCCAUCCCGAUGAUGAUCCUUAGGCUAGGUCCCUUAUGAUAGGUGUUUAGGGACGUAAAGUGAGGAUAACGGGAACGAGUAAUCAGGUUAUUGUUGAUUGAUGAAAUUAAUAAACUUAUUUAUUGUGGGUUGAAAACCCUAUGUGCUCACCAGGAUCCCAAGCCUGACCCACUCAGUUUUAUGUAUUACAGGUAGUGGCCCUUGAGCAUAGAUAUGAUGUUUGGACGAGGGAUUACGGAUAUAGGCCUGUAGAUGUGAAAUAAUGUAGUAAGGCUUAUAUUGUACUGUUUAUGUUUUUGAUCUGUACGAACAUGACAUCCCAAGUCUUUUAAUGAAAUACAAUUCUAUGGAAAUGCUUUUGAUAACUCUUUAUCAUAUUUUGUUUCGGGAAAAAUUCCGCAACACUUUUAUUUAAAAUGUUACUCUGAUUUUUAAACAAAGCAUAAACAAAAUCGUUCUUUUUCUGGCCGUGAUUUUGGGAAUGUCACAGUUGGUAUCAGAGCAUUAGUUUAAGCGAACUAGGAAUUUGUAGGAUUUCUAGACUUAAACUUAGAAUGCUAAGCGAUGAUUGUGAGGUGUGAGCACUAGCUUAUUUUAGGAAUUGUGCCUAAAAUGCUUUUAUGUGCUAAAUGCCUUGUGCCUGAUAUGCUGUUAAUUGUUCGGAUCUAUGGUCUGUUGCCGACCGGAUCUGGAAACCUUAUGUGUUUAGGAUAAACGUACGACUACGAUAUUAGAACUAGCAUGUAAACAUUUCGAAGAGAUAAGGAUGAUUUGAACAUCAGUCCUAAAUAAAGAUCUAAAUUCACCUUAUUCGGUGUAGAGAUCAACAUGGCAAGGACCCGUAGCGGAAACGUGAACGCAAAUGGAGAUAGGAACCAACCCCCAGUGGUUCAGCAAAUACCUGUUGUUGAAGAAGUUGCACCUGAGCCAGUUACCAUGGCUGGAGUUCAAGCCAUGAUUCGGGCUAUGCUAGCGGAACAAAGGGAAUAAAUGAGACAGAUUCUGCACGAAAAUAGGGACGAACCUACCAUACAUGUUGAACCGACAGAGCUAGUUCCCGAGCAAUCUGAGGAAGGGAACUACAGCCGCCAAGUGACUCAAGUAGGGACCUAAGGUGAGCAAAGGGAUGGCCCAGAAGGGAGAAACAACAAAGAAGGGCGGAUGUACAAAAAUUUCUUGGGUGCGAAACCACCAAGUCUCUCAGGAAGCCCAAAGCCUGUUGAGAUUAUGGAUUGGAUCCGAGUUGGAAAGAUGGUGUUUGAGAGCUGCGACUGCAGCGAGAAGCAGAAGACUGUCUUCGCUGUGAGACAAUUGAAAACUGGAGUCUUGAGCUGGUGGAAGCUAUUGGCAGAUACAAUGCCGCGAGGAGAAGCUCUGAAAAUGUCAUGGGAUGAGUUCUUGGAACAACUGAAGGCGCAAUACUGUUCAGAGAUAGAUCUGAUUGAUCUGAACAAUGAGUUGCAAAAUUUGAAGAAGGGGAGAAUGAGCAUCGAUGACUAUGUUGUUGCAUUUACGGAAAAGAUGAAGUUGUUUCCAUACCUAGUGCCAACCAAACUUUCCAAAAUUGAGAAACUCACAAAUGGACUGCCAUCUGACUUUGGCCCAACAGUCAAGAUGGCAACCACUCUGAAAUUAGUCGUUCGAGCAGCUAAGAAUGUGGAAACCCAACAAAAGGACAGAGGUCUGGAAAGGGCUGAGGUUGGAGAGAAAUGGAAGUUCGAUGGAUCCUCGAAGUCCAACAAGAAGAGUAGAUUCUCGAAGUCUGGUUCGAGAGGAGGAGGAUUAGAAGCGAAGUGGUGUGACAAGUGUAAGAAGAAGCACUCUGGGAAGUGUGACGGAGGGGUCACUUGUUUCAAAUGCGGAAAUCUUAGGCACUAUGCCAAUGAAUGCAACCUCAUCCAGAAGGCCUGUUAUGGGUCUAAUGAAGAAGGGCGCAUUUUGAAGGACUGCCCAAAGAAGAAGGAGGCAGGAAGACCCAAUAUACCACCGAAGCCGAAGGAGAGAGCCUUCCAGAUGACGAUCGAGGCUGCGAAGGAGGCAGCAGACGUCGCUUCAGGUACCUUUCUUGUAAAUGGUUUGCCUGCAAAUAUACUAUUUGAUUCCGGAGCCAACUAUUCCUUUGUGUCGCAUAAAUUUGGUGGGAAAUUAGAAUUGCCUGUAGAAAAACUUGAUACUGCCCUGAUUGUAGAAGUUGCCAGUGGCAAAUUCGUACCUAUUAGUAAUCGUAUUAGGAACAUCGUUAUCGACCAAAACGGAAACGAAUUCCACGAAGAACUACUAUCCAUAGAGUUAAACGGUUUCGACAUCGUCUUGGGUAUUGAUUGGCUUAGCACCAACGAUGCCGAGAUAUUAUGCCAAAAGAAGAUAGUAAGGGUGAACUCACCCGGAAAAGAAUCAUUUAUGGUGUACAGGGACAAACGCAGAGUGAAUUCUGGAAUCAUCUCCAUGAUGAAAGCCAGGAAAUGUUUGUCCAAAGGAUGUGCAUUAUACUUGGCAUUCGUAAUCGAUGCCAAGAAGGAAAAGAAAGAGGUGCAGAAUAUACCGGUCGUGUGCGAUUAUCCAGAAGUCUUUCCCGAAGAUCUUCCCGGAUUACCACCUGAUAGACAAGUGGAGUUUCGUAUAGACUUGUUACCAGGAACAACACUGAUAGCAAAGGCACCUUACCGAUUAGCACCGACGGAGAUGAAAGAGCUCAUGACGCAACUUCAGGAGCAAUUGGACAACGGUUUCAUUCGACCUAGUUCAUCACCUUAGGGAGCUCCAGUGUUAUUCAUGAAGAGGAAGGACGGAAGCAUGAGGAUGUGCAUAGACUACCGAGAGCUGAACAAGGAAACAGUGAAGAACAAGUAUCCAUUGCCGAGGAUUGACAACCUAUUCGAUCAGCUGCAAGGUUCGAGCUACUUCUCAAAGAUCGAUCUUAGGUCGGGGUAUCAUCAGUUGAAUGUGAGAGAUCAAUAUAUCGAGAAGACUGCAUUCAGAACGAGAUAUGGACACUACGAGUUCUUGGUUAUGUCGUUUGGACUAACCAAUGCAACAGCAGCAUUCAUGGAUUUGAUGAGUAGGGUUUGUAAACCAUUCCUCGAUAAAUCUGUGAUAGUGUUCAUCGACGACAUUCUGAUCUACUCGAAAAGCCAAGAGGAGCAUGGCAAGCAUCUACGAGAAGUGUUAAAGAAGGAGAAGCUUUAGGCUAAGUUCUCCAAGUUUGAUUUUUGGAUCCAAGAAGUUCAAUUCUUGGGUCAUGUGGUUAACCAAGAAGGGAUACCCAGCAAGGAUCGAAGCUGUAAUGAAGUGGGAACGUCCGAAAAGUCCCACGGAGAUUCGGAGCUUUCUAGGAUUAGCCGGAUAUUAUCGAUGGUUCAUCCAAGGCUUUUCUUCGAUAGCUGUUCCAUUAACAGCUUUGACCCAUAAAGGAGCUACGUAUACGUGGAGUGAGAAACACGAUGAGGCACUCGAGAAACUAAAGAAGAAGUUAUGUGAAGUACCGAUACUUUCUCUACCCGAUGGAGUCGAAGAUUUCACGGUUUAUAGUGACGCUUCUGGAGUCGGGUUGGGUUGUGUUCUGACCCAAAGAGAAAAGGUGAUAGCAUACGCAUUUUGACAAUUGAAAGAGCACGAAAAGAACUACCUUACUCAUCAUUUGGAGUUCGCACCGGUAGUAUUUGCUCUAAAGAUAUGGAGGCAUUAUCUCUACGGCACGAAGUGUAGGUUGUUCACUGAUCAUAAGAGGCUCCAGUAUCUCUUCAAUCAGAAAGAAUUGAACAUGAGGCAACGACGCUUGCUAGAGUUACUAAAGGACUAUGACUGUGAGAUACUUUAUCACCCCGGUAAAGCAAAUGUUGUCGCUGAUGCUUUCAGUCAAAAAGUCAAUCUUGAAAGGAAAAGGCCAAGAGGUUUGAGAAUUUAAGUCGCCUCGACAAUUGUGGAAAGUAUUAGGAAAGCUCAAGAGCUUUAGAGAAAAAUGACCGAAAGGAAGAACAUUUGGGCAAAACAUUAGUGUUCGGUGCAAACCGUCAAGGACUAAAGGUAUUCCAAGAUCGGAUUUGGGUACCUAAGAAGGGAGGAAUAAGAGAUCUUCUGAUGGAAGAAGCACAUAAGACCAUGUACUCGAUUCAUCCCGGUAGCACUAAAAUGUAUAGGGACCUAAAACCCUACUACUGGUGGCUGACGAUGAAACUCGAUGUUUCGAAGUAUGUGGCCGAGUGUGUAACAUGUGCGAGAGUUAAGGCACAACAUCAAAAACCGUAUGGGAGUUUGGAACCUUUGCCUGUAGCCAUGGGUAAAUGGGAAGACAUCACCAUGGAUUUUGUGACCAAACUGCCCAGGAUGAAGAACGGUCACGACAUGAUUUGGGUAGUCGUGGAUCGUUUCACUAAGAGUGCACACUUCAAAGCGGCCAACGAAAAGUGGUCUAUGGAUAAGCUCGCAAAUGCGUACGUGAAGGAAAUUGUAAGACUUCACGGUGUUCCUCUUACGAUUGUAUCAGAUCGUGAUAGUCGUUUCACAUCGAGGUUUUGGCGGAGUCUACAAGAGGAGUUGGUUACAAAGUUGUGCUUAAGUACUGCUUACCAUCCGCAAACCGAUGGUCAGAGCGAAAGAACGAUUCAAACACUGGAAGAUAUGCUGAGAGCAUGUACCCUCGAGUUCCAAGGGAAUUGGGAUGAGCACUUACCUCUGGUAGAAUUUUCCUCCAACAAUAGUUUUCACUCGAGCAUCAAGAUGGCAUCUUAUCAAGCCUUGUAUGGACAGAAGUUUCGUACGCCGUCUUGUUGGCUUGAAGCCGGAGAGAAGCAGUUUAUGGGCCCCGAGAUAGUCCAUGAGACUGCUGAGAAGUUGAAAGUGAUUAGGGAAAGGAUGUUAGCUGCUCAGGAUCGUGAAAACAGCUACGCUGACAAGAAAAGACGACCAAUGGCUUUUGAAGUAGGGGAUUCCGUUUUGCUUAAAGUCUCACCUUGGAAGGGACUUAUAAGAUUCGGAAAACGAGGGAAGUUGAGUCCAGUGUUUAUUGGACCGUUCAAAGUUCUUUAGAAGAUAGGGAACCAAGCUUACAAGCUGGAAUUGCCCGAAGAACUCGACGGUAUACAUAACACCUUCCAUGUAUGUUAUAUGAGUAAAUUCAUAGGAGAAGUUCCCAACAUAAUUCCAAUCUCAGAGUUAAGGAUGGAUGAAAAUAAAAGGCUGAUCGAAGAGCCUGAGGCAAUUGUUGACCGUAAGACUAAGAAGUUACGAAGCAAGAUGGUCGACUUAGUACUAGUCCGAUGGAAACAUUCGAAUGGGCCAAAUCUCACUUGGGAAACAGAGGAUGACAUGAUGAGUCGCUAUCCACAUCUGUUUGCUGAUGCAUGAUUCCGAGACAGAAUCAUCCUAAGGGGGAAAGAAUUGUAACGCAUGAGUUUUAGGGCUAAACAUAUUUGUAAAUGUAAUAGUCUAGGUCAACUAUUGUAACUCUUUUUGAAGUAAUAAAGAUGAAAUAUUUGAGUAUUAUGUGAAUUAUGUGUAUUUAUGUGCUUAUAAUUUAAUGAUAAAUGUAUAAUUAAUAAAGAAUAAAAAUAAGCAUCAAAAUUAAAGUGUCCAUAUAAGCUCUAUAUCUCUACAUAAAGUUGUAGAAUGUGUCUCAAGGUUUCCGUACAUAUAAAGAACGCCGAAAUCCGAGUUAUAACGAAGAAGUUAUGGCCCGUCGAAGUUCUAUGGCAAAACCAACAUGGCACCGGGAAGCGUAAAUAGUGAAUUUACGAUAGAGCGAGAUUUAGCCUUAGCAAUCUAAACAAAAGUUGUAGAAUAUGUUAAACUAAGAGCGUNNGUCGAUAAAUAGAACGCCCAAAUCUGACUUCGUAUGAGGAAGUUAUGAUUUUUCUAAGAUUCAGCUUAGUAGUGCACGACCUGAAACUCGAAUUUUAGUUCGACCGGUUUUUGGCUUACGCGACCUAAAUUAGAGUUGAAGAUCUCAAUAAUAGGAACUCAACGGUAGAAAGAUGGACGAAAACGGAGUUCGUAUGAAGGAGUUACGAAUUCUUCGUGGUCAUUUAACAGUCUAAACGCCUCCUAUUGUUAAAUUUGAGAUCGGUCUAGAAUUAACCGACGGAGUCUAAACAGAAGUUGUAGAUCUUGAUUUUACCUACGCGUGGAUAUAAAGAACGUCAAAAACGGAGCUCGUAUGCGAGAGUUAUGAUUUUUCUAAGUUUGAAGGCAGAUACGCGAUAGGGAGUGACGUGGCACCACCAGAAUUGGACACGUGGCACCACCAGAAGGUUGCCACAUGCANCGAGUAGGUCCUCUUACUCGGCGAGUCCAUCAGUCAGCACCUCUAUAAAUAGAGGUGUCGGGUCUUGCCAUUUCUUCACACCUCUCAAACCUUCUUUCUCUCUCUCUAAGCUCCCUAAGCCCCCCUAAAGUCUAGGUAAACCCCCUAGCACCCGAAGGAAGCCCCAAGGCUCCCGGAGUCCCGAGAAAAGAGCCUUUCGGCUCGGGAACGCUACUCCAAUGACACUCGAUUUUCGAGAAAACCCGCUAUAAGUGAGCUAUGCGUAACCUAUCUUUAGUAUAGCUUACGUUUUAAUAUAGUAAUGUUAUUAGGACCUUAUAAUAAGUACUUGGGCUAUUAUAAUGGGUUAUAUAAGUAUCGUUUAACGCUUAUAUAAUAAUAAUAAUAGCUAGACUAUUAAUUAAUCGCGGUUAUCGUUAGACUAAACCCUAGUGGUAUUGGUACUAGGUUUUAUCGAAGGAAAAUCGUUUUGAGAGUACCGAAGCGCUGUCCGAGUGCUGAGUCACCACCUUUCAAGUGAGUGCAUAGUUACUUUCAGCUUACACAUAGAUAUGAAGUAUUUUAUAUAAAUUACGUGCUAUGUGUGCAUAUUAUCUGAAUACUUGCUAUCUAUGCUGGAUGAACGUUUUUAUACAUGUUUUCAAUGAUUUAAACUGUAUAUGUAUUUUAUAUCUACGAAAAUGUUGGGGUGAAACAUGGGUAGAUGUAAUAGGUGAUGUGUGAUAAAAUGAUGAGAGGCCUCGAUGUUGAUGUUGUUGAUUCUGUCAUCUAGCGGAGUAUGGAUGACGACCACGGACUCUUCUAGACAGUCCAGUGGAACACUAGCAGACUCGCAACCUGUAGGUGUUUGUGAACGAUGUGUUCACCGGUGUACUCCAUCCCCCACAUGGUUGCCUUUAGGACAUUUAUUGUUAAGGAAUCCCCUUAGCAGUAACGUCCAUCCCUGAUGACGAUCCUUAGGCUAGGUCCCUUAUGAUAGGUGUUUAGGGAC